RNAcentral lists this ribosomal RNA (750 nucleotides) under Proteus mirabilis. RNAcentral's name for it is "partial 23S ribosomal RNA". It matches the Rfam family "Bacterial large subunit ribosomal RNA", at positions 2057 to 2806 of the family's 2925-position model. The record is from RNAcentral. Lineage: Bacteria; Pseudomonadati; Pseudomonadota; Gammaproteobacteria; Enterobacterales; Morganellaceae.
AGAUGCAGUGUACCCGCGGCAAGACGGAAAGACCCCGUGAACCUUUACUAUAGCUUGACACUGAACAUUGAGCCUUGAUGUGUAGGAUAGGUGGGAGGCUUUGAAGUGUGGACGCCAGUCUGCAUGGAGCCAACCUUGAAAUACCACCCUUUAACGUUUGAUGUUCUAACCUAGGCCCAUAAACUGGGUCGGGGACCGUGUCUGGUGGGUAGUUUGACUGGGGCGGUCUCCUCCUAAAGAGUAACGGAGGAGCACGAAGGUUGGCUAAGCAUGGUCGGACAUCAUGCGGUUAGUGCAAAGGCAUAAGCCAGCUUGACUGCGAGAGUGACGGCUCGAGCAGGUACGAAAGUAGGUCUUAGUGAUCCGGUGGUUCUGAAUGGAAGGGCCAUCGCUCAACGGAUAAAAGGUACUCCGGGGAUAACAGGCUGAUACCGCCCAAGAGUUCAUAUCGACGGCGGUGUUUGGCACCUCGAUGUCGGCUCAUCACAUCCUGGGGCUGAAGUAGGUCCCAAGGGUAUGGCUGUUCGCCAUUUAAAGUGGUACGCGAGCUGGGUUUAGAACGUCGUGAGACAGUUCGGUCCCUAUCUGCCGUGGGCGUUGGAAGAUUGAGAGGGGUUGCUCCUAGUACGAGAGGACCGGAGUGAACGCACCACUGGUGUUCGGGUUGUCAUGCCAAUGGCAUUGCCCGGUAGCUAAGUGCGGAAGAGAUAACCGCUGAAAGCAUCUAAGCGGGAAACUUGCCUCGAGAUG